RNAcentral lists this ribosomal RNA (484 nucleotides) under uncultured bacterium. RNAcentral describes it as "partial 16S ribosomal RNA". It matches the Rfam family "Bacterial small subunit ribosomal RNA", at positions 30 to 507 of the family's 1533-position model. The record is from RNAcentral.
AUUGAACGCUGGCGGCAGGCCUAACACAUGCAAGUCGAGCGGAUGAAGGGAGCUUUCUCCUGGAUUCAGCUGCGGACGGGUGAGUAAUGCCUAGGAAUCUGCCUGGUCGUGGGGGAUAACGUCCGUAAACGGGCGCUAAUACCGCAUACGUCCUUAGGGAGAAAGUGGGGGAUCUUCGGACCUCACGCUAUCAGAUGAGCCUAGGUCGGAUUAGCUAGUUGGUGGGGUAAAGGCCUACCAAGGCGACGAUCCGUAACUGGUCUGAGAGGAUGAUCAGUCACACUGGAACUGAGACACGGUCCAGACUCCUACGGGAGGCAGCAGUGGGGAAUAUUGGACAAUGGGCGAAAGCCUGAUCCAGCAAUGCCGCGUAUGUGAAGAAGGUCUUCGGAUUGUAAAGCACUUUAAGUUGGGAGGAAGGGCAGUAAGUUAAUACCUUGCUGUUUUGACGUUACCAACAGAAUAAGCACCGGCUAACUUCGUG